GUAGGGAAUAUUGGGCAAUGGAUGCAAGUCUGACCCAGCCAUCCCGCGUGCCGGAAGAAGGCCCUCAGGGUUGUAAACGGCUUUUGACGGUGAAGAGCCGACAGGAUGCGUCCUGUUUUGACGGUAGCCGUUGAAUAAGCACCGGCUAACUCCGUGCCAGCAGCCGCGGUAAUACGGAGGGUGCGAGCGUUGUCCGGAUUUAUUGGGUUUAAAGGGUGCGUAGGCUGGAAGGUCAGUCAGCGGUGAAAAGCUAUCGCUUAACGAUAGUCUUGCCGCAGAUACUUCCUUUCUUGGAUGAGGAGGAGGCCACUGGAACGGAUGGUGUAGCGGUGAAAUGCAUAGAUAUCAUCCAGAACACCGAUUGCGAAGGCAGGUGGCUGUACCUUAAUCGACGCUGAUGCACGAAAGCAUGGGGAGCAAACAGGAUUAGAAACCCGAGUAGUCC
This 445-nucleotide ribosomal RNA is filed under the name uncultured bacterium. Its description in RNAcentral is "partial 16S ribosomal RNA". It matches the Rfam family "Bacterial small subunit ribosomal RNA", at positions 354 to 796 of the family's 1533-position model. The record is from RNAcentral.